UGAAUGAUGAUAAGAUGGUAUCUGAAUGAGCAAUAAAACCCUGUUGAAAAGCCUUCUACCAUCUCUGCUGCCUUCCUUCUGAUCAC
RNAcentral lists this small nucleolar RNA (86 nucleotides) under Drosophila busckii. RNAcentral's name for it is "small nucleolar RNA U83". It matches the Rfam family "Small nucleolar RNA U83". The record is from Rfam by way of RNAcentral. Lineage: Eukaryota; Metazoa; Arthropoda; Insecta; Diptera; Drosophilidae.